AGCAGUCGCCGCGGUAAUACGUAGGGAGCUAGCGUUGUUCGGAAUUACUGGGCGUAAAGCGCACGUAGGCGGUUAUUCAAGUCAGAGGUGAAAGCCCGGGGCUCAACCCCGGAACUGCCUUUGAAACUAGAUGACUAGAAUCUUGGAGAGGUCAGUGGAAUUCCGAGUGUAGAGGUGAAAUUCGUAGAUGUUCGGAAGAACACCAAUGGCGAAGGCGACUGACUGGACAAGUAUUGACGCUGAGGUGCGAAAGCGUGGGGAGCAAACAGGAUUAGAUACCCCCGUAGUCCCUGUCUCUUAUAC
Molecule: ribosomal RNA, 303 nt
Filed under: uncultured bacterium
Lineage: Bacteria
Description: partial 16S ribosomal RNA
Rfam family: Bacterial small subunit ribosomal RNA
Source: RNAcentral